This 862-nucleotide ribosomal RNA is filed under the name uncultured euryarchaeote. RNAcentral's name for it is "bacterial SSU rRNA". It matches the Rfam family "Archaeal small subunit ribosomal RNA", at positions 37 to 907 of the family's 1478-position model. Lineage: Archaea; Methanobacteriati; Methanobacteriota. The record is from RNAcentral.
GGUUCGAUUAAGCCAUGCGAGUCGAGAGGGUUCAGACCCUCGGCGGACUGCUCAGUAACACGUGGAUAACCUGCCCUAAGGUGGAGCAUAACCCCGGGAAACUGGGGAUAAUACUCCAUAGGUUAGAGAUACUGGAAUGUUCUUUAAUCGAAAGUUCCGGCGCCUUAGGAUGGAUCUGCGGCCGAUUAGGUAGUUGUUGGGGUAACGGCCCAACAAGCCUGUAAUCGGUACGGGUUGUGGGAGCAAGAGCCCGGAGAUGGAAUCUGAGACACGAUUCCAGGCCCUACGGGGCGCAGCAGGCGCGAAAACUUUACAAUGCAGGAAACUGUGAUAAGGGAACCCCGAGUGCCCGUAUACGCGGGCUGUCCGGGUGUAUAAAAAGCAUCUGAAGAAAGGGCCGGGCAAGACCGGUGCCAGCCGCCGCGGUAAUACCGGCGGCUCGAGUGGUGACCACUUUUAUUGGGCUUAAAGCGUACGUAGCUGGACUCUUAAGUCUCUUGGGAAAUCCCGCGGCUCAACCGUGGGGCGUUUAAGAGAUACUGGGAGUCUAGGAACCGGGAGAGGUAAGAGGUACUUCGGGGGUAGAAGUGAAAUUCUGUAAUCCUCGAGGGACCACCGAUGGCGAAGGCAUCUUACCAGAACGGCUUCGACAGUGAGGAACGAAAGCUGGGGGAGCGAACGGGAUUAGAUACCCCGGUAGUCCCAGCCGUAAACGAUGCGCGUUAGGUGUACUGGUGACCACGAGUCACUGGGGUGCCGAAGGGAAACCGUGAAACGUGCCGCCUGGGAAGUACGGUCGCAAGGCUGAAACUUAAAGGAAUUGGCGGGGGAGCACCACAACGGGUGGAGCUGCGGUUUAAUU